AGUGAACGCUGGCGGUAGGCCUAACACAUGCAAGUCGAACGGCAGCACAGUAAGAGCUUGCUCUUACGGGUGGCGAGUGGCGGACGGGUGAGGAAUACAUCGGAAUCUACUUUUUCGUGGGGGAUAACGUAGGGAAACUUACGCUAAUACCGCAUACGACCUACGGGUGAAAGCAGGGGAUCUUCGGACCUUGCGCGAUUGAAUGAGCCGAUGUCGGAUUAGCUAGUUGGCGGGGUAAAGGCCCACCAAGGCGACGAUCCGUAGCUGGUCUGAGAGGAUGAUCGGCCACACUGGAACUGAGACACGGUCCAGACUCCUACGGGAGGCAGCAGUGGGGAAUAUUGGACAAUGGGCGCAAGCCUGAUCCAGCCAUACCGCGUGGGUGAAGAAGGCGUUCGGGUUGUAAAGCCCUUUUGUUGGGAAAGAAAAGCAGCAGGUUAAUACCCCGCUGUUCUGACGGUACCCAAAGAAUAAGCACCGGCUAACUUCGUG
RNAcentral lists this ribosomal RNA (492 nucleotides) under uncultured bacterium. RNAcentral describes it as "partial 16S ribosomal RNA". It matches the Rfam family "Bacterial small subunit ribosomal RNA", at positions 29 to 507 of the family's 1533-position model. The record is from RNAcentral.